UGUGUGUGUGUGUGUGUGUGUGUGUGUGUUCUUUCUUUUGCAGUCCUUCUACACAACGCCAUUCCUUUUGUAGGAUUUGGUUUCCUGGACAACGCCAUCAUGAUUGUAGCUGGCACGCAGAUUGAGUUGUCCAUAGGUGUGAUCCUUGGGAUUUCAACCAUGGCAGCGGCUGCCCUGGGGAACCUUGUGUCGGACCUGGCUGGACUCGGAAUGAAGAAGCUGCUCAUGUCACACGGUCACAAACACCCUCCUCCAUUUUGGACUUCCAGAAUAGGAAAAACAUCUGCUCCCAUCAUCCAAUGGAAAUGCUCUGUUUUGUUUUUUUGGUGGAUAACUCGAUAACGCCAUGGCUGCAUGCUAAUCAUAAAACUAAUUCAGAUUUUAAUUGUUAGGCUGAGUGAAAUGUUGGACUUU
Molecule: long non-coding RNA, 414 nt
Organism: Oncorhynchus tshawytscha (Chinook salmon)
Lineage: Eukaryota; Metazoa; Chordata; Actinopteri; Salmoniformes; Salmonidae
Source: Ensembl